RNAcentral lists this ribosomal RNA (380 nucleotides) under uncultured cyanobacterium. RNAcentral describes it as "bacterial SSU rRNA". It matches the Rfam family "Bacterial small subunit ribosomal RNA", at positions 376 to 770 of the family's 1533-position model. Lineage: Bacteria; Bacillati; Cyanobacteriota. The record is from RNAcentral.
CGCAAGCCUGACGGAGCAAGACCGCGUGGGGGAGGAAAGCCUUUGGGUUGUAAACCCCUUUUCUCAGGGAAGAAGAAAGUGACGGUACCUGAGGAAUCAGCCUCGGCUAACUCCGUGCCAGCAGCCGCGGUAAUACGGAGGAUGCAAGCGUUAUCCGGAAUUAUUGGGCGUAAAGCGUCCGUAGGUGGUCAUGCAAGUCUGCCGUUAAAGAAUGGAGCUUAACUCCAUAGGAGCGGUGGAAACUGCAAGACUAGAGUACAGUAGGGGUAGCAGGAAUUCCCAGUGUAGCGGUGAAAUGCGUAGAUAUUGGGAAGAACAUCGGUGGCGAAAGCGUGCUACUGGGCUGAAACUGACACUGAGGGACGAAAGCUAGGGUAGCG